RNAcentral lists this ribosomal RNA (512 nucleotides) under uncultured bacterium. RNAcentral's name for it is "bacterial SSU rRNA". It matches the Rfam family "Bacterial small subunit ribosomal RNA", at positions 28 to 531 of the family's 1533-position model. The record is from RNAcentral.
GAUUAACGCUAGCGGCAGGCCUAAUACAUGCAAGUCGAGGGGCAGCAGGGUGUAGCAAUACAUCGCUGGCGACCGGCGCACGGGUGCGUAACACGUAUGCAACCUACCUUUAACUGGGGAAUAGCCCUCCGAAAGGAGGAUUAACACCGCAUAACAUCACGAGACGGCAUCGCCUUGUGAUCAAACCUCCGGGGGUUAAAGAUGGGCAUGCGUCCGAUUAGCUAGUUGGCGGGGUAACGGCCCACCAAGGCGACGAUCGGUAGGGGGUCUGAGAGGAUGAUCCCCCACACUGGUACUGAGACACGGACCAGACUCCUACGGGAGGCAGCAGUAAGGAAUAUUGGACAAUGGAGGCAACUCUGAUCCAGCCAUGCCGCGUGAAGGAUUAAGGCCCUAUGGGUUGUAAACUUCUUUUAGACGGGACAAAACCCCUUUACGUGUAAAGGGUUGAUGGUACUGUCAGAAUAAGCAUCGGCUAACUUCGUGCCAGCAGCCGCGGUAAUUCUCGCGUG